Transfer RNA from Mycoplasma sp. (ex Biomphalaria glabrata), 72 nucleotides. It matches the Rfam family "tRNA". From Rfam's summary of the family: Transfer RNA (tRNA) molecules are approximately 80 nucleotides in length. Their secondary structure includes four short double-helical elements and three loops (D, anti-codon, and T loops). The record is from Rfam. Lineage: Bacteria; Bacillati; Mycoplasmatota; Mollicutes; Mycoplasmatales; Mycoplasmataceae.
GGAUCCUUAGCUCAGCGGCAGAGCUGUCGGCUCAUAACCGAUUGGUCACAGGUUCGAUCCCUGUAGGAUCCA